This 2124-nucleotide ribosomal RNA is filed under the name Pseudoalteromonas sp. H100. Its description in RNAcentral is "bacterial LSU rRNA". It matches the Rfam family "Bacterial large subunit ribosomal RNA", at positions 1 to 2162 of the family's 2925-position model. Lineage: Bacteria; Pseudomonadati; Pseudomonadota; Gammaproteobacteria; Alteromonadales; Pseudoalteromonadaceae. The record is from RNAcentral.
GUUGUAUGGUUAAGUGACUAAGCGUACACGGUGGAUGCCUUGGCAGUUGGAGGCGAUGAAGGACGUAUUAACUUGCGAUAAGCCUAGUCAAGCUAGUAAAAAGCACUUGAGACUAGGAUUUCCGAAUGGGGAAACCCACCUGCUUGCAGGUAUCGUUAACUGAAUACAUAGGUUAACGAGGCGAACGCGGAGAACUGAAACAUCUAAGUACCCGUAGGAAAAGAAAUCAACCGAGAUUCCGAAAGUAGCGGCGAGCGAAAUCGGAACAGCCCUUAAGCUUAUUAUGUGUUAAUGGAAGGCUCUGGAAAGUGCCACGAUACAGGGUGAUAGUCCCGUACAUGAAAAGACAUUUUAAGUGAAAUCGAGUAGGUCGGAGCACGUGAAACUUUGACUGAAUAUAGGUGGACCAUCAUCUAAGGCUAAAUACUCCCAACUGACCGAUAGUGAACCAGUACCGUGAGGGAAAGGCGAAAAGAACCCCUGUGAGGGGAGUGAAAUAGAACCUGAAACCGUGUACGUACAAGCAGUAGGAGCAGACUUGUUCUGUGACUGCGUACCUUUUGUAUAAUGGGUCAGCGACUUAUAUUUUGUAGCGAGGUUAACCGAUUAGGGUAGCCGUAGGGAAACCGAGUCUUAACUGGGCGAAUAGUUGCAAGGUAUAGACCCGAAACCCGGUGAUCUAGCCAUGGGCAGGUUGAAGGUUGAGUAACAUCAACUGGAGGACCGAACCCACUAACGUUGAAAAGUUAGGGGAUGACCUGUGGCUAGGAGUGAAAGGCUAAUCAAACCGGGAGAUAGCUGGUUCUCCCCGAAAUCUAUUUAGGUAGAGCCUCGGACGAAUACUUACGGGGGUAGAGCACUGUUAAGGCUAGGGGGUCAUCCCGACUUACCAACCCUUUGCAAACUCCGAAUACCGUAAAGUAAUAUCCGGGAGACACACGGCGGGUGCUAACGUCCGUCGUGAAGAGGGAAACAACCCAGACCGCCAGCUAAGGUCCCAAAGUCAUAGUUAAGUGGGAAACGAUGUGGAAAGGCCCAGACAGCCAGGAGGUUGGCUUAGAAGCAGCCAUCCUUUAAAGAAAGCGUAAUAGCUCACUGGUCGAGUCGGUCUGCGCGGAAGAUGUAACGGGGCUAAACUAUGCACCGAAGCUGCGGAUUCAUCUUAGGAUGAGUGGUAGGGGAGCGUUCUGUAAGCGGUUGAAGGUGUACCGGGAGGUAUGCUGGACGUAUCAGAAGUGCGAAUGCUGACAUGAGUAACGAUAAUGCGGGUGAAAAACCCGCACGCCGGAAGACCAAGGGUUCCUAUCCCAUGUUAAUCAGGGUAGGGUAAGUCGACCCCUAAGGCGAGGCCGAAAGGCGUAGUCGAUGGGAAACGGAUUAAUAUUUCCGUACUUGGUAUAAUUGCGAUGGGGGGACGGAGAAGGCUAAGCAAGCAUGGCGAUGGUUGUCCAUGUGAAAGUGAGUAGGGCGUUUGUUUAGGUAAAUCCGGACGAACACUAAACCUGAGACACGAGACGAGCUACUACGGUAGUGAAGUUGCUGAUGCCAUACUUCCAGGAAAAGCCUCUAAGCUUCAGAUUAUACCGAAUCGUACCCCAAACCGACACAGGUGGUCAGGUAGAGAAUACUAAGGCGCUUGAGAGAACUCGGGUGAAGGAACUAGGCAAAAUCGUACCGUAACUUCGGGAGAAGGUACGCUCCUAUCUGUGAUGAGACUUGCUCUCUAAGCGGACGGGAGCCGCAGUGACCAGGUGGCUGGGACUGUUUAUUAAAAACACAGCACUGUGCAAAAUCGCAAGAUGACGUAUACGGUGUGACACCUGCCCGGUGCCGGAAGGUUAAUUGAUGGGGUUAUCUUCGGAGAAGCUCUUGAUCGAAGCCCCGGUAAACGGCGGCCGUAACUAUAACGGUCCUAAGGUAGCGAAAUUCCUUGUCGGGUAAGUUCCGACCUGCACGAAUGGUGUAACCAUGGCCACGCUGUCUCCACCCGAGACUCAGUGAAAUUGAAAUCGCAGUGAAGAUGCUGUGUACCCGCGGCUAGACGGAAAGACCCCGUGAACCUUUACUACAGCUUGGCACUGAACAUUGAACCUACAUGUGUAGGAUAGGUGGGAGACUUUGAAG